RNAcentral lists this ribosomal RNA (743 nucleotides) under uncultured Capnocytophaga sp. Its description in RNAcentral is "bacterial SSU rRNA". It matches the Rfam family "Bacterial small subunit ribosomal RNA", at positions 28 to 776 of the family's 1533-position model. The record is from RNAcentral. Lineage: Bacteria; Pseudomonadati; Bacteroidota; Flavobacteriia; Flavobacteriales; Flavobacteriaceae.
GAUGAACGCUAGCGGCAGGCCUAACACAUGCAAGUCGAGGGAGGAGCCUUCGGGCUUCGACCGGCGUACGGGUGCGUAACGCGUAUACAAUCUGCCUUUCACAUAGGGAUAGCCCGAAGAAAUUUGGAUUAAUACCUAAUGGUAUAUAGGGGUGGCAUCACAUUUAUAUUAAAGCUGAGGCGGUGAAAGAUGAGUAUGCGUUCUAUUAGCUAGUUGGAGAGGUAACGGCUCCCCAAGACUACGAUAGAUAGGGGUUCUGAGAGGGAUAUCCCCCACACUGGUACUGAGAUACGGACCAGACUCCUACGGGAGGCAGCAGUGAGGAAUAUUGGACAAUGGUCGGAAGACUGAUCCAGCCAUGCCGCGUGCAGGAAGACGGCCUUAUGGGUUGUAAACUGCUUUUGCAGGGGAAGAAUAAGGACUACGAGUAGUUUGAUGACGGUACUCUGCGAAUAAGCAUCGGCUAACUCCGUGCCAGCAGCCGCGGUAAUACGGAGGAUGCGAGCGUUAUCCGGAAUCAUUGGGUUUAAAGGGUCCGUAGGCGGGCUAAUAAGUCAGAGGUGAAAGCGCUCAGCUCAACUGAGCAACUGCCUUUGAAACUGUUAGUCUUGAAUGGUUGUGAAGUAGUUGGAAUGUGUAGUGUAGCGGUGAAAUGCUUAGAUAUUACACAGAACACCGAUAGCGAAGGCAUAUUACUAACAAUUAAUUGACGCUGAUGGACGAAAGCGUGGGGAGCGAACAGG